UAGCACUGAUGACAAAAAGGUUGGGCUUACAGUUGCUUUGGAUUUCAUCCAUUUGGUAGUAGAAUGAUGAGACCCAUUGGUUAC
This is a small nucleolar RNA of Macadamia integrifolia, 84 nucleotides long. RefSeq annotates it as small nucleolar RNA snoR113. The record is from RefSeq and is a predicted model, not a curated record. The transcript has a single exon. Lineage: Eukaryota; Viridiplantae; Streptophyta; Magnoliopsida; Proteales; Proteaceae.